CUUGCUUUCUUUGCUGGCGACCGGCGCACGGGUGAGUAACACGUAUCCAACCUGCCCUUUACUCGGGGAUAGCCUUUCGAAAGAAAGAUUAAUACCCGAUAGCAUAAUGAUUCCGCAUGGUUUCAUUAUUAAAGGAUUCCGGUAAAGGAUGGGAUGCGUUCCGUUAGGUUGUUGGUGAGGUAACGGCCCACCAAGCCUUCGAUGGAUAGGGGUUCUGAGAGGAAGGUCCCCCACAUUGGAACUGAGACACGGUCCAA
Molecule: ribosomal RNA, 257 nt
Filed under: uncultured bacterium
Lineage: Bacteria
Description: partial 16S ribosomal RNA
Rfam family: Bacterial small subunit ribosomal RNA
Source: RNAcentral